UGCAAGUCGAGCGCCUGUAGCAAUACAGGAGCGGCAGACGGGAGAGUAACACGUGGGAACGUACCCUCCAGUUCGGGACAACCAAGGGAAACUUUGGCUAAUACCGGAUACGUCCGAAAGGAGAAAGAUUUAUCGCUGAGGGAUCGGCCCGCGUCUGAUUAGCUAGUUGGUGAGGUAACGGCUCACCAAGGCGACGAUCAGUAGCUGGUCUGAGAGGAUGAUCAGCCUCAUUGGGACUGAGACACGGCCCAAACUCCUACGGGAGGCAGCAGUGGGGAAUAUUGGACAAUGGGCGCAAGCCUGAUCCAGCCAUGCCGCGUGGGUGAUGAAGGCCCUAGGGUUGUAAAGCCCUUUCGGCGGGGAAGAUAAUGACGGUACCCGCAGAAGAAGCCCCGGCUAACUUCGUGCCAGCAGCCGCGGUAAUACGAAGGGGGCUAGCGUUGCUCGGAAUCACUGGGCGUAAAGCGCACGUAGGCGGACUCUUAAGUCGGGGGUGAAAUCCUGGAGCUCAACUCCAGAACUGCCUUCGAUACUGGGAGCCUUCGAGUUCGGGAGAGGUGAGUGGAACUGCGAGUGUAGAGGUGAAAUUCGUAGAUAUUCGCAAGAACACCAGUGGCGAANGCGGCUCACUGGCCCGAUACUGACGCUGAGGUGCGAAAG
Molecule: ribosomal RNA, 660 nt
Filed under: uncultured Alphaproteobacteria bacterium
Lineage: Bacteria; Pseudomonadati; Pseudomonadota; Alphaproteobacteria
Description: bacterial SSU rRNA
Rfam family: Bacterial small subunit ribosomal RNA
Source: RNAcentral